AGCUCUCCGAGUGGUGUGGAUGUUUAUUGGGCCUAAAGCAUCCGUAGCUGGCCAAGUUAGUCCCUUGUUAAACCCACCGAAUUAAUCGUUGGCAUGCGGGGGAUACUGCUCGGCUAGGGGACGAGAGAGGCAGACGGUAUUUUCGGGGUAGGGGUGAAAUCCUAUAAUCCCGGGAAGACCACCAGUGGCGAAGGCUGUCUGCUAGAACGCGCCCGACGGUGAGGGAUGAAAGCUGGGGGAGCGAACC
Molecule: ribosomal RNA, 247 nt
Filed under: uncultured crenarchaeote
Lineage: Archaea; Thermoproteati; Thermoproteota
Description: partial 16S ribosomal RNA
Rfam family: Archaeal small subunit ribosomal RNA
Source: RNAcentral